AUGCUUAUGUUUGAGAAACACUCGGAGACAAAGGUGGUGCGUAUGAUCAUUGCAUAUUGUGAUCCGUCUGAACCGUAUGAGCCUAUCACCGAGUGGCAUAGUGAUGCGCAUAGCCAACCUAAUAAAAAUGUAGAACAAGAGGAUGAUACUUACCUUCGCAACCCAAGACCUGAGAAUGAGCAUGUUGGUGUUGAUGAGGAGAAUAUGUAUGAAGUGGAUGAACCUAUUCCCUUAAAUGUGGUUCUUUGUCCUAAUAAAGAGAAGGACAAAGACUAUAUUUGUGAGGAUGAUAGUGAGGCUGAGAGUGAAGUAGAGGAUGAUGAAGUAGAGGAGGUUGAAGUAGAGGAGGAUGAGGAGUUGCAUGAGGCAGAGCAUACUCCACAUGUAGAGUAUGACAAAUUAGACCCUCCAAUGACAAAAGGCUUUACAUAUCCCAGCAUGAAAGAGUUCAAGUUGGCACUUUCUCAGCAUGCAAUCAAACGUGAAUUUGAGUAUAACACCGAGUAUAGUACCCGUCAUCGGUUUAGGGGCUAUUGUUCAAGACGGGAUGCAGAUAAUUGUCCCUGGAGGAUACAUGCUUCUACAACAGAAGAUAAGUGUACCGUGAUGGUAAUUGUUUAA
RNAcentral lists this ribosomal RNA (621 nucleotides) under Triticum aestivum (bread wheat). RNAcentral's name for it is "partial small subunit ribosomal RNA". Lineage: Eukaryota; Viridiplantae; Streptophyta; Magnoliopsida; Poales; Poaceae. The record is from RNAcentral.